RNAcentral lists this long non-coding RNA (9536 nucleotides) under Solanum pimpinellifolium. RNAcentral's name for it is "long non-coding RNA (SPIM_LNC000187)". Lineage: Eukaryota; Viridiplantae; Streptophyta; Magnoliopsida; Solanales; Solanaceae. The record is from RNAcentral.
CACAGCACUGAAUGGAUCAUAAAAUAGGUAAACAUCAGCAUCUUGGUAGAGAGCACGUGCAAUCUGUACUCUCUGUUUCUGUCCACCACUCAAAUUUAUGCCUCUCUCACCUAUGACUGUUUGAUCACCAAAAGAGAGAAUUUCCAGGUCUUUCUUUAACGAGCAUGCUUCAAGAACUUUAUCAUACUUCUCCCUCUGCAUCUCUUUACCAAAUUAUAUGUUCUCUUCUAUCUUUCCACUCUGUAUCCAGGAUGACUGUGCAACAUAAGCUUUCGUUCCACCGAGUCUAAUAGUCCCUGAUAAUUUGUGCAUCUCCCCUAAAAUGCUAGAGAGUAAACUUGAUUUUCCUGAACCAACAGUACCACAAAUGGCAACUCUCAUGCCAUUAAGCACGCUAAGAUUUUACAUCCUUUAGAAGAGGAGUGGAGGAGGAUGCAUCCCAUGCGAAGUUCCCAUCAACAAUCUCAAUUGCAACAUCAGAACGUCCUUUUGGAAGCUUCUCUAUGACAUCAGGCUGCAAGUCCUCAAGAGAUAGGAAAGAGGCAAUACGAUCAAGAGAAACUUUGGUUUGAGCAAUCAUUGAAAUUGUAUCCGGGAGACUGUAGAUGGGCAUUUGGAGAAUUCUAAAUGUUGCAAGUGCAGACAAGAUCUUCCCAGUUUCAAGUGGGAUUCCCAUAAGCAUUGCAGCACCGAAGGUCACCGCAGAAACAAAUGUAGGAGAAACCCAAAACACAAAACUAGUCAUAGCUGAUGUGUAAAGAUAAUUUUUCAACCAUCCUGCCUCGAUACUUCUGAGGUCCAAGAUCCUAGAGAGAAACUUCAUCUCCCAAGCUUGAAGCUUGAGUAUUCUCAUAUUCCUUAAUACUUCAGAUGUCGCCUUCGUCCUUCCGUCUUUUGAUUCCAUGAGUUUCUCCUGAAACUUCUCCUGCAAUCUACCUAAAGGGAUGUUUAACAGCAUCACCAUUAUUGCAGCAACAAAUGCUGCAAUUGAAGCAAGGCCAAGAUUUUUAUAGAGUAUCAGCAACGCCAGACCAACUUGGAUUAUCACCUUCCAAGGAUCAUGCAUAUACCAACCGAAAUCACCAAUCCUCUCUGCACCAACUGUCAUAAAAUUGAUGAUCUCUCCACUAGUAUGGCUUUGCUUUGACUGACAAGAAAGCGUCAAACCUUUGUUGUAGAUUAGGGCAACCAAUGCUGCCCGUGCCCGAUACCCUCCCUGCUGCACCUUGAAAACCCAAUGCCUUUGUGUCAAACUCUCUACCAACUUUGCAACAAAGAAUGUUGCAACUAAGAGAUAACCUUCAUUAUCAAAACUUCGUUUUCCAUUCAGAUACUGUACUAAAGUAUCGAUGAGGUAUGGGCCAACAUAAGUAGCCAAAGUACAUAGAAGCACCAAGCAUGCUGACAACACUAUUUCCUUCCAUGUGGUGUAAAUCAAAGCCUUCGCCAGCAUAAGUGUAGUCACACGGUUACGACUAUCUGCUCCACCACCUACAGAUUCUAGUUUUUCUCUAAAAAUCAGAAAAGCCCCUCGGACUUUAUCACCACUAUGAAGCUGAGGAACAUCCUCAAGGUCUAAUGUCUUCUUGUAGCCAAGAGAUAUAAGGGGUCCAAUCCAAGAGAAAGUAAAAAGACUAAAAAAGUUAGCAUUGGCAUAAGGGGUCACAGUUUGAUCCCCAGAAGACUUCUUUAAGUCUAUGCCAUUUACAACAUCACCAUUCAAAAGGGGUUCCUCAAGACUGUUCCCUUCACUCUCUUUUUUAACAAUAAACCCCACAAAGCAAAAGAACAACCCCAUAACAGUGAAAACAACAUCAGGUACCCAAAAUUGAGUCUUUUUUCCAUAAACAAGGUCUAUAACUAGACAAUAACAAGACACAAAGAAGAAAAUCCCCCACCAAACUCUUAAAACAAAAGGGUAUUUAUUUUCACCAGAAUUACUCAACAUGGUGUUCAAAAAAACAGAAACUGACAACCAAGCUAGAAACUUUGAUGCAAAAUCAACAAAAGUUACAGUCUUUUCCUCUGACCAACCACUCGUAUACCAAUAAAAAUGAGUUAACAAACAUAACAAGAAACUAAAAAUGACAAGACCUAUAGAACAAAACAAGGUUUGUUUAUAGCACAUGAACCUGACAUUCCUAGUAAUAUCUUUGGGAUCAGCAUUGCCACCAUUAUUAUCACUCUUGAUUUUUUUCCAACCCCAUAAGCCAAGAAUCACAAAAAACAAUCCCAGGUGAAAACAACAGCUGAUUAAACGUAAACAAAAUGGGUUUUUAAAAGAUUCAUCAACCCCCACAUACCUCAAAGAUUGAAAAUCAAACAUGCCCUUCAAUGUAUCAGCAAUUUCCAUGAAAUUUUUUUCUUUUUUUUGAGGUUAAAGAUUAAGUUUUUGAGGGACACGUCUAGUUUGGUUAUGGCUCUGGCUCUUUUCUGGGAUGGUAUCACAUAUAUAUAGAGUACUAGUUUGGUUUGGAUUUUGAUUUUAAAAAAUUCCAAAUUUUUAUUAAUUAAUUAUUGAAUAUAUAUAUUUGUGAAAAAGAUUUCAGAAAAUGGUGCUGGAAAAUAUGGAAGAAAAAGUUGUUUCUGCUUUUUCUGUUCCCGUUAGGAAUGGAGAGAGCAAAUUACUUACAAGACAAAAUGGAAAAAGAAGAAAAAAUGCAAGUGAUACUUGUAUUAUAUUAAGAAAAAUGAUUUAUUUUUUUAUAAAUAUUUCAUUGAACUCGAUUAUUAUUAUAUAUUAAUUUAAAUUCAUCGUAAGAAUUCAAUUAAAUCAGCUCAUAAAUAUUAAAUUCUGAAUUUACUUAUUACUUAAAGCUCUAAUAAAAAAAUGGUAAUAUCCAUCUCAUUGCAUGAACUAUAUUAUAAUUUUACCAUAUUACUUUACUUGUUUAUACAUAAGCGACUAAUUCAGCAGCUUUUGAUCGUGCUACCUACUUGAAUAGUUUCCAAUCAUAUUGUCUACUUGGGCAACCUGAUUCUUCUCUUUUAUAACAUAGGAUCAAUAAAAAUAUUUUACGAAUUUUUUAAUUUAAUUUUCUUAAGACAACUAGUUUGAUAUAAAUAAGAAGUGAAGGGAUUUACUUUAAAAUAUUCCCACUAGUUUAGAAAAAAUAUGAAUGCCAUACCAUUUUAGAAUUUCUUUAAAAUCCUUGUGCAACUAUAAUUAGAAAUUAUUUAAAUAAUAACUAUAUUUUAUUUUUUUUUAUUGUUUAGAUAUUAAAAUUUCCAUUCAAUUACUCCUAUAUUUUGCGAAAAAAGAUUAGUUUUUUCCCCUUAAUUUCAGUAACAACUUUUUUAUUCUUAUUAUAUUUUGUUGGAAAAAAUAGUUUUUGCAUUAAUUAUAAAUUAAAAAAAUUUGAAAAAGAGCUUCCACCUAAAUGGGAAUGCUUAUUGGAAAUGUCAAUUAUGUCAUUUUGGGGAGUUGCACGUACGCCAAUAUUUUUAUAUUUAAAGAUAAUUUAAUUUUAAACUUUAUAAAUAUAUAAAUACUUUUACGAUUCAUUUUUAGUUGUCAUAAUUUUUUCUUCGAAAUCAAAAUCAUAUGAAUUUUGACUAAUAUUAUAAAAUAUGUUUUUUAAUUAUAACUAUAUGAAAAAAUAGUAAUUUAUAGUACUUUUUGUAUAUUUUUCGAAUAUCAAUUUUUUUAUUUUAAAUAACAAAUUAAUGUAAGUUAAUUUAGCUAUGAAAUUAGCUAAAUUGGCUCUUACAAGCGCAACAUGACGAAUUAAAAGAAACUAAGGGAGUAUCUAAUUUACUUUAAACCACAAAUUUCAAAAACAUAUCCAUUUUUAAAAAAUUUUAUUUCUGGUCAAAUAUCAUAGAUAUUAAAAAUGUAAGUAUUACAAAAAAGAAAAAGCAUAGGGUCGUCCAACCAAAAAAAAAAACUUAUAUAUUUGAUAUAUCUACAUUAAAUUACAUAAUCUUAGUUAAAUCAUAUAAAAAAGAUACAAAUUUGUAUUAUUAACUAUUAUUCAAAAAAGGAAAAAAAAUUAAAAAGGUACUCCUAGUAAAAAAGGACAUUGGAGAAUCUUUUUACUCCAUUUAGUAGUUCAAAUAGUUCUAUAAAAUAAGGGAUAAUAACAUAAAAAGAUCAUUUGUAUUUGAUUAUAAAUAUUAACUAAUUCUGAAAUAUAAUUUUUUUUACAUUAAAACAAUAAAAUCAUACUAUUUCAAUGGAUCAAAUAUUCUUGUCCGUCACAUCUCGAAAACCUAUAAAAAAAAUAAAAAAUAUAUCUAAAUUUCUUUUUUUUUCCUCUCAGAUAAUUGCGCUUCUAAAUCCUUAAAAUUACAAUUAAUGUGUUAUUAUUUAUAUUUUUGAAAUAAAUGUCGCAAAAUUUGAUUGCUCCAAGCAGUUAUGUACAAAGCCAAAAAGAUCCAAGCAGCAUAGCCUCUACUUCUUAGAGAUGUUGUUUUCUCGGAACCCUCGUCUCAAAAACCCAUAAGCAGAAUAAACUGGAUAUGACAAAAAAGUAAAGGAAAAGAAAAGGGAACAAAAAGAGAUACUAAUAACGAAACGUAUAUGAUAGUAUGUAGAUAUGGCACAAGGAAGGGAAAGAAAAGGGAACAGAAAGAGCGACUAAUAGCGAAAAGAGCACAUGACAGUAUGUAAAUACGAUAAAAUUAACACAUAUAUGACAGAAAAUGAUGCCUGCUACCCUACAAUACCCCACGGCCAGACAUCACCUAACCUUACUAGCCUAUUAGCCUGCUACUCUAAUUCGGGACCUCCACUCCUUCCAAGCAGCAUAGCCAUGAUGAGUUGAUUUCCUCAGGCUGAGUUCAGGUUGAACUACCCAUUUUCUGGUGCAAAAUGCUUAUGUAGUAGCAUUUUCUGGAAAACUUACUUAACAAAAGAAAUGCAAGCCACAGGCAAUGAGCUUCAUUUUGCUGGUUUUUGUUCAAUCUAUGUUGUCCACGGAUGGAAACUCAAAAACAGCGUGUAAAGUAUACGUUACUGGUUUAGAAUCACCUAGUUUUCAUCAUCAUCAUUGUGUUACGUGUGUCUGAGACUCACGUGUCUGAGGCAUUCUCAAAACUUGAAUUUGAUCUCAUACUAUACUCAGCCACGAGCUUCGCAAACAACGAGGAUUUGUUCUCUAACAACUUGCCCGGAGUGUCAUAUUCAGCAAUGAGCCCUGCAGUAUAGCAAAGAAAAGAAGGUAAAUACCAAGAAUUUCCACUUCCGUUUGCUCCAAAAAUGCAAAUGUUGAUUCUUACCAUGUUCUAAUAGCAGGACCAUGUCACUAUCAAGAACAGAUGUGAUCCUAUGAGCAAUGGUUAUAACUGUGGAAUCAGUGAAGUGUUGCCUUAGAGUUUGCUGAAUUAGAUUAUCAGUUGCAGUGUCGACAGAUGCUGUAGCCUCGUCUAGGACAAGGACCUUGCUUUUUUUGAGUAGCACGCGUCCAAGACAUACCAGCUGCCUUUGGCCUACGCUCCAGUUCUCUCCAUUUUCAGAUACUGCAGCAAUCCAAAAGAAUAUAAGCAUUACAGCUUUAAAAGUGAAAAGCAUCCGAACAUGAUGUGGUUCUAACCUGUAGAAUCUAGUUUGCCUUCCUUCUUCCUAACUUCAUCUCCAAGCUGACAUUUGUCAAGCGCCUGAAGCAUAAAAUUAAAUGAAGUCUCUCAAUACGUAAAAGUUUUUCAUUUUCCUAUGUGAAACAAAAAUCGAAUUAGGCAAAUCCAAGCUCUUACCUCCCAAAUUUGUUCAUCUGAAUAUUCUUCAAGCGGAUCUAGGUUGCUGCGUACAGUCCCCUCAAACAUAGUUGGAUCUUGUGGAAUUAUACUCAAUCUAGACCGUAGAUCAUGCAAACCAAUUGAGGCAAUGUUGGUACCAUCUAUUUUAAUUUGUCCAGCAACAGGAUCAACUAUGCGGAAGAGGGUCUGUAUGAGAGUUGAUUUACCACUGCCUGUCCUACCAACAAUUCCAGUUUUCUUCCCACCAAAGAAAGUGCAUGUAAGCCCUCGUAACACGAGAGGCAUGUGCGGAGCAUAUCGGACCUAUAAAAGUUUUCAGGUAUAUCAACACAUAAACUGAAUUAACAAUAAGCCAAUCUACAUGCAUAACACCAGAGAACAACUCAAUUCACCUGAAGAUUGCUAAAAUCAACCUCUCCACAUGAUGGCCAAUUAGGAUCUGGUCUAUUAGACUCUAUUAUAAGAGGAGGUUCACUUGGAAGACCAGUAUACUGAAAUAUUCUUUCAACAGAAAUAAUUUUAUUUUCAAUCAGACAAAGAUUCCAUACGACCCAAGCUUGCAGUAUGUUCAGAGUAAGUCCGUAAGUAACAGCUAAGCCAGCAACACCUAUAAAGCAAGAACAAUGAGAAAAUGUCUGUGGUAUGUAUUCUUUAGAAAUAUUUAACAAAUUUCAAGAAAGGAAAACCUGNNNNNNNNNNNNNNNNNNNNNNNNNNNNNNNNNNNNNNNNNNNNNNNNNNNNNNNNNNNNNNNNNNNNNNNNNNNNNNNNNNNNNNNNNNNNNNNNNNNNNNNNNNNNNNNNNNNNNNNNNNNNNNNNNNNNNNNNNNNNNNNNNNNNNNNNNNNNNNNNNNNNNNNNNNNNNNNNNNNNNNNNNNNNNNNNNUGCCUUAGAGUUUGCUGAAUUAGAUUAUCAGUUGCAGUGUCGACAGAUGCUGUAGCCUCGUCUAGGACAAGGACCUUGCUUUUUUUGAGUAGCACGCGUCCAAGACAUACCAGCUGCCUUUGGCCUACGCUCCAGUUCUCUCCAUUUUCAGAUACUGCAGCAAUCCAAAAGAAUAUAAGCAUUACAGCUUUAAAAGUGAAAAGCAUCCGAACAUGAUGUGGUUCUAACCUGUAGAAUCUAGUUUGCCUUCCUUCUUCCUAACUUCAUCUCCAAGCUGACAUUUGUCAAGCGCCUGAAGCAUAAAAUUAAAUGAAGUCUCUCAAUACGUAAAAGUUUUUCAUUUUCCUAUGUGAAACAAAAAUCGAAUUAGGCAAAUCCAAGCUCUUACCUCCCAAAUUUGUUCAUCUGAAUAUUCUUCAAGCGGAUCUAGGUUGCUGCGUACAGUCCCCUCAAACAUAGUUGGAUCUUGUGGAAUUAUACUCAAUCUAGACCGUAGAUCAUGCAAACCAAUUGAGGCAAUGUUGGUACCAUCUAUUUUAAUUUGUCCAGCAACAGGAUCAACUAUGCGGAAGAGGGUCUGUAUGAGAGUUGAUUUACCACUGCCUGUCCUACCAACAAUUCCAGUUUUCUUCCCACCAAAGAAAGUGCAUGUAAGCCCUCGUAACACGAGAGGCAUGUGCGGAGCAUAUCGGACCUAUAAAAGUUUUCAGGUAUAUCAACACAUAAACUGAAUUAACAAUAAGCCAAUCUACAUGCAUAACACCAGAGAACAACUCAAUUCACCUGAAGAUUGCUAAAAUCAACCUCUCCACAUGAUGGCCAAUUAGGAUCUGGUCUAUUAGACUCUAUUAUAAGAGGAGGUUCACUUGGAAGACCAGUAUACUGAAAUAUUCUUUCAACAGAAAUAAUUUUAUUUUCAAUCAGACAAAGAUUCCAUACGACCCAAGCUUGCAGUAUGUUCAGAGUAAGUCCGUAAGUAACAGCUAAGCCAGCAACACCUAUAAAGCAAGAACAAUGAGAAAAUGUCUGUGGUAUGUAUUCUUUAGAAAUAUUUAACAAAUUUCAAGAAAGGAAAACCUGUUGAUGAAAGAGCACUUACUCGGAUCAAUUGUUCCAACAGGAAGAGAGAUUAAGAAAAUCAACACGAAAGCAAAAGUGAUCAGAGAUAACAUAUCCAAACGCAUGCAAAGCCACUCCAUCGCGGCAGCUGUGUGAAACUUAGGCCUAGAAUAAUUGUCUAUUAAUCUCAUACUUGCAUCCUGGAAUCUAGGUUCCUGAUCGAAACUUCUAAUUGUGCUUGAUCCUGAAAUUGUCUCGGUAAAGUGCUGUAUCACUGGAGCUUUGCAUGUCCCAUUUAGACGUGCCAGUUCUCGAGCAGCAGGUAUGUAAUAUUGCUGCAAUUAAACAAAACACACUGCUUAAACAUAAUUCAUGUUUACUAACGUCGCUAGAGUUAUAAAUUCAGAGAAAAGGGAAAAGGCAAAGUAGCAACCUCCAACCAAAUGCAAGCUGCAAUGACUGGAAUAAAGACAAUGAAGACCUGCCAUGCGACUUGUGACAUUACUCCAAUAAUUCCUAUAAGCUGUAUUAUUGUGAAGGCAAAGGAUCCAACUUGAUAGGGAACGCUCAGAUCGAUUGCACUCUGAUCUGUCGAUGCCUGUUAUCAUACCAAAGCACAUUUGAACAAAUUACAAAGAUGCUAGCUAAUUUUGGAUAAUAUUCAUUGGUCAAUGUAAAGAAAGAUUGACAUUAAUAAGAAAGAAGGGCAAGUAAAAAGAUAUAAUCAUUCACUUACUCUGUUUAGAAUCCGUCCACUUGGUGUGGCAUCGAAGAAUGACAUCGGAGCACGGAAUAUGCAAAGAUGCAUUUUAUGGAAAAGCAACGAGGCAGUCUUAUAUCCAACUGUAACAAGAAGCGUGGUUCUAGCCAAGAUGCACAAAGCGCUUGCAAUUCCUAAAGCAACAUACACAAUGAUGAGUGUAGAACUACCAACAGGAGAUGGAUCACUCUUCGAGACGGGGGUUGCCCACGCCAUCCAAUAAUUGCUUCCGAUUUGAAGGAGCUGAAAACCAGUUUGUGCUAACAGUAUAAUUGGGACAAGGGCACCUCCAUAUGCAGUUGUUAUAUAUUUCCAGUAAACUGAAAAGCCAACGCUACCCUUCUCUCUUUCUUCCUCCUGAACAAUUUGUCCCCUUGGUCCAUCAGUGUCAUCAACUUUAAUAUUUUGGCCAUCUGUAGUCUGUUUAUCCAGCCCGGUGGUGUUAUCGCCAGUCAAUCCAGUACUUUCCUUGCUCUUUCUCUUUGCUUCCCCCUUAAAAGUGUCAAUUGUUGUUAAAGCUUCUUGGUGAGCACUGACAAGUUCCAUGAAGUCAUUACCUAAUUUGAGAAGAUCAUUGUAUUUUCCAGCUUGACUAAUCUUUCCAUCCUUCAUUACCUGAGGAGAAAUAUAAUGUCCAAUUUAAUGUACAAUAAACAAACACUAAUUACUCAAGCAAGUAAAAUGAAAGAGUACCAAGAUCAAAUCUGCAGCAGGCAAAAACUCCACUUGAUGAGUAACAUAUAGAACUGUUUUUGAAUUCAAUAGCCCCAUUAUACAUUCCUGCAAUAAAAUAUGGGUCAAUCAAGGCCCAGGAGAAAAGCACCAAAUGUGAAACUAAAGCAUAUGAAUUGACUUACAGUGAAGAGAUGAGUGCCGGUAUGAGCAUCCACAGCACUGAAUGGAUCAUCAAAUAGGUAAACAUCAGCGUCUUGGUAGAGAGCACGUGCAAUCUGUAUUCUCUGUUUCUGUCCACCACUCAAAUUUAUGCCUCUCUCACCUAUGACUGUUUGAUCACCAAACGAGAGAAUUUCCAGGUCUUUCUUUAACGAGCACGCUUCAAGAACUUUAUCAUACUUCUCCCUCUGCAUCUCUUUACCAAAUAAUAUGUUCUCUUCUAUCUUUCCACUCUGUAUCCAGG